Molecule: ribosomal RNA, 465 nt
Filed under: Vreelandella stevensii
Lineage: Bacteria; Pseudomonadati; Pseudomonadota; Gammaproteobacteria; Oceanospirillales; Halomonadaceae
Description: partial 16S ribosomal RNA
Rfam family: Bacterial small subunit ribosomal RNA
Source: RNAcentral
CCUACGGGAGGCUGCAGUGGGGAAUAUUGGACAAUGGGGGGAACCCUGAUCCAGCCAUGCCGCGUGUGUGAAGAAGGCCCUCGGGUUGUAAAGCACUUUCAGUGAGGAAGAACGCCUGGUGGUUAAUACCCAUCAGGAAAGACAUCACUCACAGAAGAAGCACCGACUAACUCCGUGCCAGCAGCCGCGGUAAUACGGAGGGUGCGAGCGUUAAUCGGAAUUACUGGGCGUAAAGCGCGCGUAGGUGGCUUGAUAAGCCGGUUGUGAAAGCCCCGGGCUCAACCUGGGAACGGCAUCCGGAACUGUCAAGCUAGAGUGCAGGAGAGGAAGGUAGAAUUCCCGGUGUAGCGGUGAAAUGCGUAGAGAUCGGGAGGAAUACCAGUGGCGAAGGCGGCCUUCUGGACUGACACUGACACUGAGGUGCGAAAGCGUGGGUAGCAAACAGGAUUAGAUACCCUGGUAGUC